Molecule: long non-coding RNA, 296 nt
Organism: Diceros bicornis minor
Lineage: Eukaryota; Metazoa; Chordata; Mammalia; Perissodactyla; Rhinocerotidae
Exons: 3
Source: RefSeq, a predicted model, not a curated record
AGACCUCAAUUGUCUUGAAAUACCACAGAAGAUCACGCCAGUCACCACGUGGAUGACAUCACACUGAGUCAACCUGAUAAGCAAGAAAUAAGUGAAAAAAAUGGAAGACUGGUCAAAGGAAAUUGAAACCCAAGACGGAUGCCAAGAUUGUGAGCAAAAGAGGAAAAGACACCAGGGAUACACGCACACAGAGAAAAGGCCACGUGAGGACACAGCGAGAAGAUGACCAUCUGUAAGCCAAGGAGAGAGGGCUCAGGAGAAACCAAACCUGCUGACACCUUGAUCUUGGACUUCCA